AUAAAUGCUUGUGAGUAAUUCCUUUGGGAUGAAAUAAUAUAUGUAACGAAGGAAUUCAUGACCCUGCUAUAUAAUACAUAUUUUAUAUAACUAAAAUAAUUAUUCUUUCUAUCUGAUCGGACGCUUCUUGCAUGGCUAAAUAUAUUAGUCUAUUUAGUUUCAUGAUCAGUGAUAGCGAGCAUCCAAUGACUAAUAAUAAAUGAUGCAAGAAUAAUAUUCCAAAAGAAAGGAGGUA
RNAcentral lists this non-coding RNA (235 nucleotides) under unclassified sequences. RNAcentral describes it as "RT-2 RNA". It matches the Rfam family "RT-2 RNA". From Rfam's summary of the family: Coriobacteriales (Actinobacteria), Clostridiales (Firmicutes). Downstream gene The record is from Rfam by way of RNAcentral.